CCCUUAGAUGUUCUGGGCGGCCCGCGCACUACAAUGGCGUGUGCAGCGAGUGCCGAAGUAGAGUUUUCCGAGGUAUUCUUGCAAUGCUCGUUUUGAUGGGGAUAGACCCUUGCAACUGUUGGUUUUGAACGAGGAAUUCCUUGUAAGCAUGGUUUAUCAUCCGACGCUGAAUGCGUCCCUGCCCUUUGUACACACCGCCCGUCGCUCCUACCGAUGAGUCGUCCGGUGAAGUUCGUAGACCUCGUGAUCGCGGAUCACUGGGGGAUGCAAAAUGAACCUCGCGGUUUAGAGGAAGGAGAAGUCGUAACA
Molecule: ribosomal RNA, 309 nt
Filed under: uncultured eukaryote
Lineage: Eukaryota
Description: partial 18S ribosomal RNA
Rfam family: Eukaryotic small subunit ribosomal RNA
Source: RNAcentral